GGGUUUGAUCCUGGCUCAGAUUGAACGCUGGCGGGAUGCUUGCUACAUGCAGUCGGCACCGGCAGCACGGGACUUCGGUCUGGUGGCGAGUGGCGAACGGGUGAGUACGUAUCGGAACGUGCCUAGGUGGAUAUCUACGCGAAAGCGUAGCUACAUCGCAUACGCCCUUCGGGGAAAGCGGGGACCUCGGGCCUCGCACUAUUAGAGCGGCUUUUGAUAUCGGAUUAGCUAGUUGGUGGGUAACGGCUCACCACAGUGACGAUCCGUAGCUGGUUUGAGAGGACGACCAGCCACACUGGGACCAGACACGGCCCAGACUCCUACGGGAGGCAGCAGUGGGGAAUUUUGGACAAUGGGGGAACCUCGAUCCAGCCAUCCGCGUGUGCGAUGGGUACUGGGUUAGUAAAGCACUUUUGGCAGGAAAGAAACGGCACGGAUAAUACCCCCGUGCAAUUGACGGUACUGCAGAAUAAGCACCGGCUAACUACGUGCCAGCAGCCGCGGUAAUACGAAGUAGCAAGCGUUAAUCGGACUUACUGGGCAAGAGCGGCGCAGGCGGUUCGAAAGAAAGAUGUGAAAUCCCGAGUUUAACUUUGAACUUAUUUAACUACCGAGCUAGAGUGUGUCAGAGGGAGGUGGACCUGCGGUAGUGAAUGUGCGAUAUGCGGAGGAACACCGAUGGCGAAGGCAGCCUCCUGGGAUAACACUGACGUUUCGAUGCACGUAUAUGUGGGAGCAAACAGAUUAGAUACCCUGGUAGUCCACGCCCUAAACGAUGCUGUUCAGCUGUUGGGCUUCACCGUAGAAAGGCAGCUAAUCGCGUAAGACCGCCUGGGAGCGGUCGCAAGAUUAAAACUGAAGCGAAUGACGGGGACCUCGCACAAGCGGUGGAUGAUGUGGAUUAAUUGGAUGGCACGCGAAAACCUUACCUACCUGACAUGUCUGGAAUCCCAGAAGAGACGGGGAGUGUCGCAAGAGAAACCGGAACAUAGAGAAGUGUAUGGACAAGUUGCUGGGCUCGUGUCGUGAGAUGGGUUGAGUCCCGCAACGAUAGUGAACCUUGUCAUUAGUUGCUGAAGAAAGGGCACUUCUAACGAGACUGUUAUGAUAAACCGAGGAAGGUGGGGAUGACGCUCAUCCUCAUGGCCUUAUGUAGGCUGCACAUUGCCAUACACUUGUCGUAUUGUAGGUCGCCAACCCGCAGGGAGCCAAUCCCAGAAACUGCUGAUCAGUCCGAUCGCAGUCUGCAACUCUGACUGUGUGAAGUCGGAAUCGCCAGUAAUCGCGGAUCAGCACGCUGCGUGUGAAUACGUUCCCGGUCUUUGCAUACACCGCCCGUCACACCAUGGGAGUGGGCUUUAUCGGCAGGUUGUUAGCCCAACCGUAAGUGAGGCAUUACCAUGAGAUUCAUGACUGGGUGAAGCUGUAACAAGGUA
Molecule: ribosomal RNA, 1436 nt
Filed under: uncultured Bordetella sp.
Lineage: Bacteria; Pseudomonadati; Pseudomonadota; Betaproteobacteria; Burkholderiales; Alcaligenaceae
Description: partial 16S-23S ribosomal RNA intergenic spacer
Rfam family: Bacterial small subunit ribosomal RNA
Source: RNAcentral